AUUUUUUUAUAUGAAAGCGUAAAAGGGUCAUAAUUUUGAGGUGUCUUUUAAAAAAAGACGUUCAAGGUUUUCAUUAAGAUUUGAUUUUUUCUCACCGAUAUCCCUUUUUAUCCAUCAUUUUUGACAUGUUUAAUUUUUUUCUACGACGGAAAUGUCAUUAUUUUAGGGAUGAAGACAUAGGUUCAUGCCACGCUAGUUUGAGGAGUCAGGAAUAAAAAUUCUUAUAUAGAAUGAUAUAUCACCAGUACUGUUCAAAGGCCGCCAAAAUUGAGAUUAAAGUAUGCCCAAACAUACACAGCAGAAGAGACUUAUGAUGGUGGAUAUGCUAGGAGGGACCCAUAUGCUGAGGAAGCUUACCAAGAACCAGUUGCUGCUGCUGGGUUGGAGAGAAUAUAAAGCACUACUGGUUUUCCACUGAGUGGGAUAACGACCACUUCUGUGGAAACUAAAGUUCCUUUACCAAAACAGGAUCUACGCUGGAAUAAUCCAAAACUUGGUUUUGGCUAAGAUUGUUUAAAUAGAAUUUUAUUAUCUUGGAUGCAGUACACUCAUUUCGUAUGGUUUCGUUCGUUAAAGUGAGCACUGUUAACAUACGGCUCUUGUUCUUAUCGUGACUAUCGAAGAUCAAAGUCGCAAUUAACUUGUUGAUGUAAUGAAACUGGCUUAGUGGUCUACUCGUCAAGACAACAUGUUAAUCCCCACAGUUCCACUUGCAAAGGCACUGAUCAAGGCCACAACUGAAGAUCAAACAUUCAUAUCCAAAAUCCAAUGAAGGAUAAUAUAGAGUGGUGUAAUGUAUAUAAAAAGAACCACUGGGAUAGAAAUCUCACUUGGGUGUAUAUAAUUGUGUCCCCACUAUGAGUGGUGGGGCAUAUAGAUUUGGUCUUUUCCGUGCGUCUGUCCGUUCGAACAGUUUCUGACGCACCUAACUCAAAAUGUAUUUGAUAUAAAUUGAUGAAACCUUGCACGAGUCUUUAUCAUAUGAACUUGUGUACUUAUUUAUCGUCUGGAUCCGCCCCCUAUUUCCAGAGUUAUGGCCCCUGAAAUAGUCAAAAAUGCACAUUUUCACCUUGUGAUGGGACAGUGCACCUUUGGCAUUCUUCUUGAGAUUUUAGGGCUAAUUACAGAGUUAGGGCCCUUAAAAUAGCCAAAAUAUCGGAUUUUUUUUGUUUGUCACGGAUGCUCGUAGCUCAAAGAUACUAUGUCCUACGUAGGCGAUACUAACUCCUACAUAGGAGAUACUUAGACCUGCGUAGGAGAUACUAACUCCUACGUACGAGAUACUAAGUCAUACGUAGGAACUACUAUGUUCUACGCAGGAGAUACUAACUCCUACGUAGGAGAUACUAAGUCCUUCGUAGGAGAUACUAUGUCCUACGUAGCAGAUACCAACUCCUACGUAGAAGAUACUAAGUCCUACGUAGGAGAUAGUUAGUCCUACGGAAGACAAAUUUAAAUCUCCCUACUGGCACCAAGACGCUGUCAUAUAGGAGCGAUGCAGGUCAGAUAAAUGAAUUCACGCCCUGUAAAUUCCCGAUGAAAUAAUAGGUUUCCCGUGAUUAAAUAACACGGUUUCCGUUUUAGUACUCAUAAAUAUGUGAGUUAGUGAUUAGGUAUUAACUAAAGCCGUAUCAGAUAUCAGCGCAGGAUGUGGGUUCGAAACCCUGCUUGGAAAAUAGAAUUCUUUCAUGAAGGAGCUAUCCAGAUAGCUUGUUCUGUCCAGGUCCCCGCCGUGCCAGAAUUAAUGUCCGGACGUACAUCACCAUUAGAGCUGGAAAGUAACUCCUAACCUACAGAGAUUGCCAGUUGAAUUCUCCCAAGAAGCAACGCAUCCUCGAUUUCCAGUACCCGACGCCGACAAUAUUGUUGCCCAAACUUCUAAGUUUGAUAGCAAGCUGUUGAAAUCAUCGAUUAAGGAACGCUAGUCCGAUAGACAAAAGUUCUUUAUGACCGGCUACUACGAAACAAGUCGAAAGAAUUCCAUCAUAUCCUGGCAUUAACUGACUGCGGCGUGCGAUAAAACCCGGUUAACAAGUCAAGGUUAUUCAUCAUGUGAGCAUCAGCUGAUAAAUAGGGGAAACCCAAGCAUGUCAAGUGUUUUACACCAAAAUAUUUAUGAACUUUGUGCAAGUUUAUCACGUCUUAGGAUAUGCAAAAUAAACUGAUUUGUUUUUGUGUUUGCAAUAUUUUGUAAUCAGGUGCCAAAUUAUGGUGUAAAGAUUUUAUACAUCAUCAACUUUUUAAUAACAUGUAAUUAACUUAUGGUGGCUGAUUUCAAGUUAUGGAUUUGCAAAAAAAUGUGGGUACACGUUCAAACGCACAACAAACAGCAGUCCAGUCCUGAAUGCAGACAUUUAAAUGCAUGUUGAACACAAAUAGGAAAAUGUAUAUUAGAUUUUUCAAGACAACUGGUAAAAUACAGAAAUUGCAACAAUAGAAAUAAAAUAUGAGAGAUGCAAGUGCAGUAAAAGUAUCUUUUUGCUACCUUUAGUUUGACAUUAGAACAAUAACAAAUGUUUAAAGAUGGGGAGGGUGUCAUUUAAUUAAUACGUUUGCACAAUUUAGUCAGCACACGUUAGAUUGUAUGUAGUGGAUCUCAUCUUGUAUGUUGGAGUUUAUCCAUAUUUUGCUUCCUAACAUUCUUAAAGAAAUUGGAUAACUGUGUUUGGGCAGGGUUGGGCUGAUAUCAGCUCCAUUCCUCUUUUUCACCUUGGUGUUUUCAUCAGAGCAAGUAGGAUAAAAAAAACAGCCCAGAGACAACAACAAGGGAAAGCAAAAAUACUACAAAAUUUCCAUAUUAUCACUGCGGUCUGAUGGUAUUAGCAUGAUUAUAAACUCGGCAACACUUCACUUUUAUAACCGCAACAUGCGGUUUAAACUAUAGUUGCCUUUCCAACCCCUCAAUGAAAUGAAAAAGAAAAUAUUAUUUAUCAUAAAUGAACUUGAAAGCAUAUCUUACAUAGGCUAGUGACAAGAUCUAUACUCUGAACAUUUAUUAUCACUUUAAUUCGAACUUUACAUUAUAACUAAUAAUAGCAGUGAAUCGAUGAAAUAACGAAAUCUUAGUGGUUUUCCUAUGUGGUUUUCCUGCGUUACCAAAUCGAUUAAAUGCACGUUCAAUGUACUAUUACAAAACCCUGGUCCAUAGUUUGAUUUGCAGAAGAAAUUAUGAAAUGUCAUGUAAUAAAACACUUAAUGAAUGGCUUGCCGAUCAAAAGUGAAUACUAUUGCCCUUAGGUUCUUUGGACUUUGUGCAAUAAGUUUGAUUAUUGACCAGCAAAACAUUCAAUAUCAGUAAAUAUAUAAUAUCAUGCAAUCAUUAGCUGUAUGUUGAUCUCAAAAUUAAAAUUUUACCAUUAACGUGAAUAAAACAUGCUCUAUUUUUAAAUGUACUAACUCGGAAAUAAACUAGAAUACAUCUAGAAAGAUAAAUUAUCUGUUAUACAUUCGCCUACUUUGCAAUUUAUAUAAAAAAAAAUAUGGUUAAACCAGCCACGUGAGCAAAUGGUUUGAAGUAAAUAUUGUUUGUUUGUUAACAACAUUA
Molecule: long non-coding RNA, 3544 nt
Organism: Mercenaria mercenaria
Lineage: Eukaryota; Metazoa; Mollusca; Bivalvia; Venerida; Veneridae
Exons: 3
Source: RefSeq, a predicted model, not a curated record